UGGGGAAUUUUGGACAAUGGGCGAAAGCCUGAUCCAGCAAUGCCGCGUGUGUGAAGAAGGCCUUCGGGUUGUAAAGCACUUUUGUCCGGAAAGAAAUCCUCUGGGUUAAUACCUCGGGGGGAUGACGGUACCGGAAGAAUAAGCACCGGCUAACUACGUGCCAGCAGCCGCGGUAAUACGUAGGGUGCAAGCGUUAAUCGGAAUUACUGGGCGUAAAGCGUGCGCAGGAGGUUUUGUAAGACGGAUGUGAAAUCCCCGGGCUUAACCGGGGAACUGCAUUCGUGACUGCAAGGCUAGAGUAUGGCAGAGGGGGGUAGAAUUCCACGUGUAGCAGUGAAAUGCGUAGAGAUGUGGAGGAAUACCGAUGGCGAAGGCAGCCCCCUGGGCCAAUACUGACGCUCAUGCACGAAAGCGUGGGGAGCAAACA
This 427-nucleotide ribosomal RNA is filed under the name uncultured bacterium. Its description in RNAcentral is "bacterial SSU rRNA". It matches the Rfam family "Bacterial small subunit ribosomal RNA", at positions 355 to 774 of the family's 1533-position model. The record is from RNAcentral.